UCGAACGACGGGUGUCGUUGAAAUACAGUUCAGUCCAGUUGGAGAGAACAAAAAAAGUGGAGAAGUAUAUAGGCUUUUUGAUGUUGGAGGUCAGAGAAAUGAGAGAAGAAAGUGGAUACAUUUAUUUGAAGGUGUAACAGCAGUUAUAUUUUGUGCCGCUAUUAGCGAGUAUGAUCAAACUCUAUUUGAGGAUGAAAGAAAGAACCGAAUGAUGGAGACCAAGGAACUCUUUGAGUGGGUCUUGAAACAACCAUGUUUUGAG
This 262-nucleotide unclassified non-coding RNA is filed under the name Hevea brasiliensis (rubber tree). Lineage: Eukaryota; Viridiplantae; Streptophyta; Magnoliopsida; Malpighiales; Euphorbiaceae. The record is from RNAcentral.